Triticum dicoccoides is the source of this 2099-nucleotide long non-coding RNA. RefSeq lists it as uncharacterized. The record is from RefSeq and is a predicted model, not a curated record. The transcript is spliced from 5 exons. NCBI's taxonomy places the organism in Eukaryota, Viridiplantae, Streptophyta, Magnoliopsida, Poales, Poaceae.
CGUUUUUUGUUCAUAGAUUUCUGUUGUAGUUUAAUUUACUUGACAUUUUGCCAAGUCAUAGUUUUAGGACUAUCACAACAUAUGUAUUACUUUGCACCCAUGUCCUCUGUCAAAUUUGUUCAGUUCAAAGCAUUAAGACUAUGACCAGCUAUCCAAUUUGCAGUCCAGAUAUAUUGUUUCCUUAAUCAGCAAUGCAAAUUUGGGGCAGCUUCAACUUUCUUGUCUGAUUUUAUUUUGCAAUCUAUAAUCUGAACUGAAAGACAGGGGUACAUGCGCUCAGGUUUUGUAGUUGACUAACCAUUAGUAAUGCAAAUUAGGAGCCCCUUUAAUUUCUGUGAGCUGCAAGUGCAAUUGACCAAUAAUCUCAUACUUGCUCAUAAGCUGCUGAACUGAAUCAACACGCCUAUUUUGGUUCCAACAAAAAAAAUCCAUGCUUAGGACUGAAAAAUUACUUCUGUGUAAUGUUCAUAUGGGUCCGGAGGACAUUUUACACUUGAUGUUUACUUGUGCACGAGCGAAGCAAGUCUGAGCUGCCCUGGGUCUUCUAGAAAUUAUUGAAGAAGCGUCACGUAUCGAUAGAUCUGGAUCCUUUGUGUUGGAAGAGCUGCUGCGUCGGACUAUCAUAGUUCAUAUCAUAAUGUUGAUGCCUCUUUUGAUAUAGCGCUCAAAUAAGAUUAGGAGGAAGGGCAUCACACUCUCCGAUAGCAAACAAGAUACCACGUACCGAUCCUGAUUUAGAAUUAUGACAAGGAGUCAGGGACACAAUUAGAUUUAUACCAUCCGUUGUGAUGAUACAAGGAAAGUAAACAUAUACGCAUAUUGUGUUCAACGUGAUGAUACAAGCGAAAGCUGGCCUACGCCGCCAACUGAUCUGCGGCAGCGUGAAAGGAGUGUUCAAAAGUAGCAGGAACAGUUGUUCCACUGCUGGUCGGAGGGAGAGCUUGGCAAGGGAGAUAGAGGGAGCUCUACAACCACGAUCUUGGCAUACAACCCGAUGGCGUCAUGCCCACUUAAGCUUCUUCCAUGUUCCAAUUCUUGCAUUUGUUGGUCUUUUACUGUCAGAGCUUACGAAAUCCAUUACAAAUUGAGGUGAGGCCAAGUCAUGAACUUGUUGAGAUGUCUUUGCCUUGAAUUCUAAGGCUUGAAUCUAAAUGGAGGCGAGGCCAAGUCUUGAACGAAUACUAAGGUUUGCAUCUUUUAUAAAGCUUGACAGUUACUGUGUAGUUUCAGUUAACAUGAUAGUCACGCGUGGUGAAUCUCUUUUCUUGUCCAGAGAUUUCACGAAUCCAUUAUUGCCUACAGAACAACAUCCUAGGGCCCUCCCAGUUUGAUUCUCUUUAUUUUGCUAUAUCUCAACUAUUACAUACAUCAUUUAUGCUCUGAAGCUAACCAUUGUAUGCUUUGAUUGGUUGGAGCGGCAAGGUUUUCCAGAUCCUGGGAGUCUAUCCCUUCCAACAAUCUGGAGGUAGCAUAGUACAUCCGUACUCGCAGAGGGAAUAUGAUCUGAGCCGCCGUUAUGUGUUUCUACUAAUUAAAGAACAACUAGGGUCACUUGAAAGAAGAUGAGCUGGAAGAAUUCCACGAUAGACCAUUGCUUCAAGGUUGGGAGCGGCCACAACAUAAUUGACAUCAAAACCAGAUCUGGGUCCUACAUAUCCGGUCUUGCUCGUAUCCUACAAUGGUUUACAGAUGGUGUGGCUCCUUGCACUAAGAUGAUCGAUCAGAGAUCUAGAGUCCUCAAUACAGAUCAAUGAGGCCUCCUCAAGAUUCACUUCUUCAUAGCCCCCAACCUUGGUAUAGUAUAAAAACCUAUAAAUAAAUCAGAAGAAUAGGCAAUUAUCGGAUGCUUAUGUUUGUUGGUGUAGUAGCCCUCUUAAGUCCAGUCCUAGAGAAGUGUGUCGUAGAAGCAUAUCAGGAAGACAUGGACGUGGAUAUGCAUUAUGGUUGUAUUAUGGACGUGGAUAUAUAUUUUACAUAUUUUUCUGAGUUUGUUCUCAGGGGUGGGUCGUGGCUACCUGGUAACGGUCCAAUUUGGUUGUUUUAUAAUCUUGUCAAGAUAUUUCACAUGAUACGGAUUAACUAUCACCAGUUUUAGUUAA